CCUACGGGGGCUGCAGUGGGGAAUAUUGGACAAUGGGCGAAAGCCUGAUCCAGCCAUGCCGCGUGUGUGAAGAAGGCCUUCGGGUUGUAAAGCACUUUCAGUGGGGAAGAAAGCCUUGGGGCUAAUACCCCCGAGGAAGGACAUCACCCACAGAAGAAGCACCGGCUAACUCCGUGCCAGCAGCCGCGGUAAUACGGAGGGUGCGAGCGUUAAUCGGAAUUACUGGGCGUAAAGCGCGCGUAGGCGGUCUGAUAAGCCGGUUGUGAAAGCCCCGGGCUCAACCUGGGAACGGCAUCCGGAACUGUCAGGCUAGAGUGCAGGAGAGGAAGGUAGAAUUCCCGGUGUAGCGGUGAAAUGCGUAGAGAUCGGGAGGAAUACCAGUGGCGAAGGCGGCCUUCUGGACUGACACUGACGCUGAGGUGCGAAAGCGUGGGUAGCAAACAGGAUUAGAUACCCCAGUAGUC
Molecule: ribosomal RNA, 464 nt
Filed under: Vreelandella stevensii
Lineage: Bacteria; Pseudomonadati; Pseudomonadota; Gammaproteobacteria; Oceanospirillales; Halomonadaceae
Description: partial 16S ribosomal RNA
Rfam family: Bacterial small subunit ribosomal RNA
Source: RNAcentral